GUGCCAGCCGCCGCGGUAAUACGGGGGGGGCAAGCGUUGUUCGGAAUCAUUGGGCGUAAAGGGCGCGUAGGCGGUGCGGUAAGUCUUCUGUGAAACCUCUGGGCUCAACCCAGAGCCUGCAGGGGAAACUGCCGUGCUGGAGUAUGGGAGAGGUGCGUGGAAUUCCCGGUGUAGCGGUGAAAUGCGUAGAGAUCGGGAGGAACACCUGCGGCGAAGGCGGCGCACUGGACCAUUACUGACGCUGAGAGCGCGAAAGCUAGGGGAGCAAACAGGAUUAGAAACCCUCGUAGUCC
Molecule: ribosomal RNA, 293 nt
Filed under: uncultured bacterium
Lineage: Bacteria
Description: partial 16S ribosomal RNA
Rfam family: Bacterial small subunit ribosomal RNA
Source: RNAcentral